Molecule: ribosomal RNA, 649 nt
Filed under: uncultured archaeon
Lineage: Archaea
Description: bacterial SSU rRNA
Rfam family: Archaeal small subunit ribosomal RNA
Source: RNAcentral
GCACUGGAAGGUCCCUAAACCGAAAGGGGCUCUGCCCGCCCGAGGAUGGGCCGGCGGCCGAUUAGGUAGUUGGUGGGGUAACGGCCCACCAAGCCCAUAAUCGGUACGGGCAGUGAGAGCUGGAGCCCGGAGAUGGACACUGAGACACGGGUCCAGGCCCUACGGGGCGCAGCAGGCGCGAAACCUCCGCAAUGCUCGAAAGAGCGACGGGGGGACCCCAAGUGCCGUGGUACAACCACGGCUUUUCCGGAGUGUAAGAAGCUCCGGGAAUAAGGGCUGGGCAAGGCCGGUGGCAGCCGCCGCGGUAAUACCGGCGGCCCGAGUGGUGGCCACUAUUAUUGGGCCUAAAGCGUCCGUAGCCGGGCUUGUAAGUCCCUGGCGAAAUCCCACGGCUCAACCGUGGGGCUUGCUGGGGAUACUGCAAGCCUUGGGACCGGGAGAGGCCGGGGGUACUCCUGGGGUAGGGGUGAAAUCCUAUAAUCCCAGGAGGACCGCCAGUGGCGAAGGCGCCCGGCUGGAACGGGUCCGACGGUGAGGGACGAAGGCCAGGGGAGCAAACCGGAUUAGAUACCCGGGUAGUCCUGGCUGUAAAGGAUGCGGGCUAGGUGUUGCUUGGACCUCGAGUCCAAGCAGUGCCGCAGGGAAGCCG